UUAUUUUAUUAGUAUAUAUGUACAUCUAACUACCAAUUAGAAAGUUUUUUUAAUAAAAUAAU
This 62-nucleotide transfer RNA is filed under the name Chiropterargas confusus. RNAcentral's name for it is "Argas confusus tRNA-Gly". Lineage: Eukaryota; Metazoa; Arthropoda; Arachnida; Ixodida; Argasidae. The record is from RNAcentral.